Non-coding RNA from Mesorhizobium loti, 139 nucleotides. Lineage: Bacteria; Pseudomonadati; Pseudomonadota; Alphaproteobacteria; Hyphomicrobiales; Phyllobacteriaceae. The record is from Rfam.
CAGUGGAGGAAGGUUCCACGCAGAUGGUUGUCGAUAGGUCUGGUAGCUGACGAGCGUGUUGGUCGGGCAACUGGCCGGGUCGAAGCCACGUGACGAAGGCCGCCUUGGGCUGUGCGCGAUCCAGCGGGCCGUAAUGUGA